UGGACAAAUUAUUGUAUUCGACUGUAUUCACGGCGUGAAACAGGGGAUUACCACUAAUUUUUAACGAAGGUGAAUCACUUAACAUAAUAGACUCCU
This 96-nucleotide microRNA precursor is filed under the name Nicotiana attenuata. Its description in RNAcentral is "MIR6152 microRNA precursor family". It matches the Rfam family "MIR6152 microRNA precursor family". The record is from Rfam by way of RNAcentral. Lineage: Eukaryota; Viridiplantae; Streptophyta; Magnoliopsida; Solanales; Solanaceae.